GACGAACGCUGGCGGCGCGCCUAAAACAUGCAAGUCGAACGAGAAGCCCGGGCUUGCCCGGGUGGACAGUGGCGAACGGGUGAGUAACACGUGAGGAACCUGCCCCGAAGACCGGGACAACACCGGGAAACCGGUGCUAAUACCGGAUACCUUCGCCGGAUCGCAUGGUCUGGUGAAGAAAUGGAUUCCGCUUCGGGAUGGCCUCGCGCCCUAUCAGCUUGUUGGUGAGGUAACGGCUCACCAAGGCGACGACGGGUAGCUGGUCUGAGAGGAUGUCCAGCCACACUGGGACUGAGACACGGCCCAGACUCCUACGGGAGGCAGCAGUUAGGAAUUUUGCGCAAUGGACGAAAGUCUGACGCAGCGACGCCGCGUGCGGGAUGAGGGCCCUCGGGUUGUAAACCGCUUUCAGCAGGGACGAAAUUGACGGUACCUGCAGAAGAAGCCCCGGCCAACUACGUGCCAGCCGCCGCAGUAA
RNAcentral lists this ribosomal RNA (478 nucleotides) under uncultured bacterium. RNAcentral describes it as "partial 16S ribosomal RNA". It matches the Rfam family "Bacterial small subunit ribosomal RNA", at positions 28 to 523 of the family's 1533-position model. The record is from RNAcentral.